UCGGGAAUAUUGCGCAAUGGAGGAAACUCUGACGCAGUGACGCCGCGUGCAGGAAGAAGGUUUUCGGAUUGUAAACUGCUUUAGACAGGGAAGAAAAAGGACAGUACCUGUAGAAUAAGCUCCGGCUAACUACGUGCCAGCAGCCGCGGUAAUACGUAGGGAGCAAGCGUUAUCCGGAUUUAUUGGGUGUAAAGGGUGCGUAGACGGGAAGGCAAGUUAGUUGUGAAAUCCCUCGGCUUAACUGAGGAACUGCAACUAAAACUAUCUUUCUUGAGUGCUGGAGAGGAAAGUGGAAUUCCUAGUGUAGCGGUGAAAUGCGUAGAUAUUAGGAGGAACACCAGUGGCGAAGGCGACUUUCUGGACAGUAACUGACGUUGAGGCACGAAAGUGUGGGGAGCAAACA
RNAcentral lists this ribosomal RNA (403 nucleotides) under uncultured bacterium. RNAcentral describes it as "bacterial SSU rRNA". It matches the Rfam family "Bacterial small subunit ribosomal RNA", at positions 355 to 774 of the family's 1533-position model. The record is from RNAcentral.